This 253-nucleotide ribosomal RNA is filed under the name uncultured bacterium. RNAcentral describes it as "partial 16S ribosomal RNA". It matches the Rfam family "Bacterial small subunit ribosomal RNA", at positions 524 to 776 of the family's 1533-position model. The record is from RNAcentral.
GACAGAGGUGGCAAGCGUUGUUCGGAUUUACUGGGCGUAAAGAGUGCGUAGGUGGUGAGGUAAGACCUGUGGGAAAGACCUGGGCUUAACCCAGGAAGGUCGCAAGUGACUGCCUCGCUUGAGGACGGGAGAGGAGAGCGGAAUUCCCGGUGUAGCGGUGAAAUGCGUAGAUAUUGGGAGGAACACCGGUGGCGAAGGCGGCCCCCUGGGCUGGUACUGACGCUGAUGCGCGAAAGCGUGGGUAGCAAACGGG